ACGAAUUCGCCCUUUUCCGGUUGAUCCUGCCGGACCCCACUGCUAUCGGGAUAGGACUAAGACAUGCUAGUCGAGCGCCUCCCAGCCACGACGGAGGCGCGGCGCACAGCUCAGUAACACGUGGCUAACCUGCCCUCGGGACGGGAAUACCCCCGGGAAACUGGGGCUAAUCCUCGAUAGGUGAAGAACUCUGGAAUGAGUCUCCGCCCAAAAGACGCUUAAAUCAUGCUUUUAGGCGCCGCCCAAGGAUGGGGCCGCGACCGAUCAGGUAGUUGGUGAGGCAACGGCUCACCAAGCCUUUAACCGGUGCGGGCCGUGGGAGCGGGAGCCCGGAGAUGGGCACUGAGACAAGGGCCCAGGCCCUACGGGGCGCAGCAGUCGUGAAAACUUUGCAAUACACGAAAGUGUGACAGGGCUAUCCCGAGUGCCAUCCGCUGAGGAAGGCUUUUACCCAGUCUAGAAAGCUGGGAGAAUAAGGGGAGGGCAAGUCUGGUGCCAGCCGCCGCGGUAAUACCAGCUCUCCGAGUGGUGUGCAUGUUUAUUGGGCCUAAAGCAUCCGUAGCUGGGAUAGUUAGUCCCCUGUUAAAUCCACCGAAUUAAUCGUUGGGUGUGCGGGGGAUACUGCUCAGCUAGGGUACGAGAGAGGCCGAAGGUACUUUCGGGGUAGGGGUGAAAUCCUAUAAUCCAGAGAGGACCACCAGUGGCGAAGGCUGUCUCACCAGAACGGCUCCGACGGUGAGGGACGAAAGCUGGGGGAGCAAACCGGAUUAGAUACCCGGGUAGUCCCAGCUGUAAACGAUGCGCGUUAGGUGUAUCGGUGACUACGAGUCACCGACGUGCCGAAGAGAAAUCGUGAAACGUGCCGCCUGGGAAGUACGGUCGCAAGGCUGAAACUUAAAGGAAUUGGCGGGAAGGGCGAAUUCGC
Molecule: ribosomal RNA, 925 nt
Filed under: uncultured archaeon
Lineage: Archaea
Description: bacterial SSU rRNA
Rfam family: Archaeal small subunit ribosomal RNA
Source: RNAcentral